GCCUAGGUGGCUCUGUCGGUUGGGCAUCUGACUUCGGCUCAGGUUGUGAUCUCACGGUCCGUGGGUUCGAGCCCCGCGUCAGGCU
Molecule: non-coding RNA, 85 nt
Organism: Felis catus (domestic cat)
Lineage: Eukaryota; Metazoa; Chordata; Mammalia; Carnivora; Felidae
Source: Rfam